Molecule: ribosomal RNA, 949 nt
Filed under: uncultured Bacillota bacterium
Lineage: Bacteria; Bacillati; Bacillota
Description: bacterial SSU rRNA
Rfam family: Bacterial small subunit ribosomal RNA
Source: RNAcentral
AGGGUUUGAUCAUGGCUCAGGAUAAACGCUGGCGGCGCACAUAAGACAUGCAAGUCGAACGAACUUAAUUGAGAGCUUGCUCUCAAAGCGGUUAGUGGCGGACUGGUGAGUAACACGUAAGCAACCUGCCUAUUAGAGGGGAAUAACAGCGAGAAAUCGUUGCUAAUACCGCAUAUGCUGUGAGUAUCGCAUGAUACAAGCAGGAAAGGAGUAAUUCGCUAAUAGAUGGGCUUGCGUCUGAUUAGUUAGUUGGUGGGGUAACGGCCUACCAAGACGAUGAUCAGUAGCCGGACUGAGAGGUUGAACGGCCACAUUGGGACUGAGAUACGGCCCAGACUCCUACGGGAGGCAGCAGUCGGGAAUAUUGCGCAAUGGAGGAAACUCUGACGCAGUGACGCCGCGUGCAGGAAGAAGGUUUUCGGAUUGUAAACUGCUUUUAACAGGAAAGAAAAAAUGACGGUACCUGUUGAAUAAGCUCCGGCUAACUACGUGCCAGCAGCCGCGGUAAUACGUAGGGAGCGAGCGUUAUCCGGAUUUAUUGGGUGUAAAGGGUGCGUAGACGGAAAUGCAAGUUAGUUGUGAAAUACCUCGGCUUAACUGAGGAACUGCAACUAAAACUAUAUUUCUUGAGUAUCGGAGGGGUUUGUGGAAUUCCUAGUGUAGCGGUGAAAUGCGUAGAUAUUAGGAAGAACACCGGUGGCGAAGGCGACAAACUGGACGAUAACUGACGUUGAGGCACGAAAGUGUGGGGAGCAAACAGGAUUAGAUACCCUGGUAGUCCACACCGUAAACGAUGGAUACUAGGUGUUGGCAAUGAAUAAUUGUCGGUGCCGGCGCUAACGCAAUAAGUAUCCCACCUGGGGAGUACGACCGCAAGGUUGAAACUCAAAGGAAUUGACGGGGGCCCGCACAAGCAGUGGAGUAUGUGGUUUAAUUCGAUGCUACGCGG